AAGCACGGACCUCCCUCAUACACAAAAAGUCCCCCCUUUACAGUAGCACACGGCGGCAGGGAUCCAUCUCUGCCCGUGGAACUCCUCUACAGUACAACCGUCGGCCUGGGUCAUGUUUGUGGCUCACAGGGAGAUCCCCUUGCCCAGAUUAGGGUGGUCGGUCAGAAUGAGGUGGGGCACGCCUCCCGGCAGUGACCGACCCGCCUCUGCCAGCGCUGCGGGCUGCUUCCCUUCCUCACUCGUCCCCGCCGUAGUGACCGCGCCCGCCUCCGCCGAGCUGUCGGCUGCCUCCCCUCCUCCUCCACCCCUGAUGUUGCUAUUGCUGGCCUCGGUCGAACUCUGUUUCGUUCGUCGCUGCGCGCUGAUGGAAGACAUGGAGAGGAUGCUGUUGCAUGUCGUGGUGGCUAUGCUGGUGGACAGAAUCAGACUGGCCAUUGGGUCCUGCCUGGAAGGAGGCUCUGCAAUGGUGGCAUUUUUUUGGCAAAUUGACAUAUUACCGCGGCAAUGGCGGCGUUUGUUUGGGAAGUUUUUCUGCUUUCCGUAGGUGAUGGAUUUGUAGACAACGAAGUCAAACAGAAUCUCUGGAGUUCAAGGUUCUGUACUGUUUUCUUUUUCUUAUUUUUCCUUUGAACAAAUCUUUCAUUUUUUUAGGGGCAUUUUUCUUAAUUUUUUUGAGGGGUAUCUUUCUUUCUUGAUUUUUGUGAGGAGUAUCUUUCUUUCUUAUAUACAAAAAUUAUCGCAUGAAGCACAUACAACCCACUGCUUCAGGCCCACUCCAGCCCAGUGCUCCCACCAGCCCACACUGUUUAUCUUCCCCAGUUGCAAUCUAUGGCCCAUGGAACAACCUGCUUCAGAAAACACAACAACCUCCCUCAUCUAUAGUCUCUGUUUUGUCUCAAAAAAUCUAGGGCGAUGCUAGGCGCCGGCGCACCGGCCGAACAAUUUCGGCCGGUCCAGCCCUGGCCGUUCGAUGCGAGCCACGCGCGGUUGGAUCUGGAGCAAAAAAAAACUCGCCCCCAGCUUCUUCUUCCUCGGCUCGAUCCCCUCGCUCGGGCUGCGCCGCGCCGCGCCUCCUAUCCCUCGCCGCCCGUCCACACCCUCGCCGCCCAUCCACACCCUCGCCGCCCGUCUCCGUCGCCGCUUCCAACCCUCGCCGCCCAUCCCCGUCGCCGCUUCCAACCCUCACUGGCCGUCCUCAUGGUCGCCGCGACACAUGAAACAACUACAUCUGCGGUUGCAGCUUGCAGCGGCGACGCUUGUAGCUUUCCCCGGUUGUAGCUCCGCCGCCACCCCUCGCCGUUGAUGCUCAUCGCUGCACGAAAUUGCGUCGACGACGGCCGCCAGCCAUCCACUGUGAUUGCGGCUCGGUGGCGACACGCGCAGGUUGAAGCAUUUCGCACAUACGAUUGAAGCUUUCUCUACAAUGGAUGCAACUUUUCUGGUUAUGCAGUGUAUGGUUGUAGCUUUCUUUUUCAAUGGUUGUAGUUUUUUUCAUCUACGGUCGAAGCUUUUCUAUCAACGGUUGCAGCUUUUUUUCUUUGUAGCAGCCUUGGUUAAUGAUUUCUCUAUCGUUUCGGGUUGAAGCUUUUUCAUCAAGGGUUGUAGCAUUUUAUGUCGACGGUUGUAGCACUCCGCCAUGGCAAUGAUUGCUUGCAGCUUUUGAUGUAUCUGGUUGAAGCUUUUUUCAUCUUGGUUUGAAGCAUUUUGGUUAACGGUUGUAGCAUGAGGGCGUGCGGCAGGUUCUGCAAUGCCUCCGCCAUGUCUGCAGCGCGAGCGCCGCCGUCCUCGCAGCUCGCCGUCACCAUGCUCGCCAUCCAUGAUGGCAGCUCUCCUGGGCACCGGUUGCAGCAGGCCACGACGCGGUUCCAGCUUCCGCCGGGGCCGGCGAGCGAGGACGGCGAACGGCGAUGGGGAUGGCCGGCGCGGAUGGCCACCGGCGAUGAGGACGGCCGGCGGGGGUGGCGAACGGCGACGGCCAACUGAGGUAGGGACUGGCGAGAUGAAAUAGAGAGAGAGGAAGCAGCGCAGCCGCGUGGGGCGUUAAUGGCGAGCGAUUUGUGGGCCGAUGAAAGGGGAUCGCACAGGUCGCGCGCGACCGGCCGAGUGGUUCGGCCGGUGCCCUGGCCCCAAACAUUUCCCAAAAAUCUAUAGCCUUUAUUAUUUCUCAAAAAAAUAAAAUAAUCUAUAGCCUCUGUUGCAGUAGGUACCCAGUAAUUGACGUUUGGUGCUCCCUCUCCUAAUAAUAUCUGAGAUGGCGCUCCACUUCCUCUCCCCACGAUCUCCACAAGUAACUGACGGAUUUCUGUUUAAAGUUUGUGCUCUGCCUCAACUUAUUUGCAAUCGUCCUCCAGCUUGAAUAGGUGUUCAAGUCGCCUUCACCAACAUCAAUAUCCAAUCUAGUAUCGCUCUGUGCAAAGAUGCUAAAAGUCCUGUCAGUAGGGGCUAUUAGCUUUUCGUUGAUGCACAUAACUCUUGCUGAUCGAAUUGUGCAAGUAUGCUGGAGGAUUUCCGCCAACGCCAAGGAUCUAGGACGAUUUGGGACAGUUCGACAUCAACAUCACCACCGCUCAUCUUCGCCACGGAUUCGUCAUCGACAACUUCACCAUCAUCCAUUCUUGCUUACAAACGCGUAACCCUCGAUGGUAACCUCAUCUUGGUAUCGUGAUACACCAUCAUUAUACACUCUUGCCAUUACAUUGAUAACCACCAUAGCCCAUGAUGAGGACAUCAAUACAAUUAUUACACCCACAGUCCCUGCUGCUAUACAUACUGGACCAAUUACUAGAGCUCGCGCACGCCAAUUAAAUUACCAGGUACUU
This is a long non-coding RNA of Triticum aestivum (bread wheat), 2819 nucleotides long. RefSeq lists it as uncharacterized. The transcript has 4 exons. NCBI's taxonomy places the organism in Eukaryota, Viridiplantae, Streptophyta, Magnoliopsida, Poales, Poaceae. The record is from RefSeq and is a predicted model, not a curated record.